AACGCUAGCUACAGGCUUAACACAUGCAAGUCGAGGGGCAGCAUUUUAGUUUGCUUGCAAACUAAAGAUGGCGACCGGCGCACGGGUGAGUAACACGUAUCCAACCUGCCGAUAACUCGGGGAUAGCCUUUCGAAAGAAAGAUUAAUAUCCGAUAGUAUAUUAAAACCGCAUGGUUUUACUAUUAAAGAAUUUCGGUUAUCGAUGGGGAUGCGUUCCAUUAGUUUGUUGGCGGGGUAACGGCCCACCAAGACUACGAUGGAUAGGGGUUCUGAGAGGAAGGUCCCCCACAUUGGAACUGAGACACGGUUCAAACUCCUACGGGAGGCAGCAGUGAGGAAUAUUGGUCAAUGGACGAGAGUCUGAACCAGCCAAGUAGCGUGAAGGAUGACUGCCCUAUGGGUUGUAAACUUCUUUUAUAUGGGAAUAAAGUAUUCCACGUGUGGGAUUUUGUAUGUACCAUAUGAAUAAGGAUCGGCUAACUCCGUGCCAGCAGCCGCGGUAAUACGGAGGAUCCGAGCGUUAUCCGGAUUUAUUGGGUUUAAAGGGAGCGUAGGUGGAUUGUUAAGUCAGUUGUGAAAGUUUGCGGCUCAACCGUAAAAUUGCAGUUGAAACUGGCAGUCUUGAGUACAGUAGAGGUGGGCGGAAUUCGUGGUGUAGCGGUGAAAUGCUUAGAUAUCACGAAGAACUCCGAUUG
RNAcentral lists this ribosomal RNA (695 nucleotides) under uncultured bacterium. RNAcentral's name for it is "bacterial SSU rRNA". It matches the Rfam family "Bacterial small subunit ribosomal RNA", at positions 32 to 715 of the family's 1533-position model. The record is from RNAcentral.